AGGGCGACAUUUUUAUUUUCACCUGUUUUUAAGUUGAUAUAUGAUGGCUUCAAAUUGGUAUUAACUUUUUGUUCUUGUCGUUGCUCCCGUGCUAAGGCCUUGGCGGAGGUCUGCCUUUGAUUGGAAUAAACUUAUCAGGGGCAUCGUGAGUCAGCAGUAUUUCAUCCGCUUAUCCUGAAGAGACUGGAACACGUGAACGCCGUGGAUGCACUUUGUCCUCGCUCACGCUGGUCUAUCUGCGCUUUUUUCCUCAAUACGUCUUCGGGGACCUCCAACGUAUGGAUGGAUGGAAGGUCCCGCCGGGAGACGGAGUGCAAGGGUGUAGCUGAUGAUCCUAUACACCAUAGCAGAGAGAGCGAGAGCGGCAAGAGGAGCCACGUCAAGUGUCACCGCUCCGCCACCCCGACUUGAGCGCCGCCGCGUCAAGGCCAGUUGUUUGCCUCGCCAAGCCGACCGGCCCGUGCCGCCCGCCCAGCCGGGCCUUGUCUGCCCUACCCUGCCCUGCCCAGCUGGCAUCCUGCAGGAGUCAUCAGGG
This is a long non-coding RNA of Syngnathus typhle (broad-nosed pipefish), 535 nucleotides long. RefSeq lists it as uncharacterized. The transcript is spliced from 4 exons. NCBI's taxonomy places the organism in Eukaryota, Metazoa, Chordata, Actinopteri, Syngnathiformes, Syngnathidae. The record is from RefSeq and is a predicted model, not a curated record.